GUGUGUGUGUGUGUGUGUGUGUGUGUACAAACACUAUAUAUAGAGACACCUCUAUAUAUAGUGUUUGUAUACUAUAUACAUUAGGCUG
This is a non-coding RNA of Pelobates cultripes (western spadefoot toad), 88 nucleotides long. NCBI's taxonomy places the organism in Eukaryota, Metazoa, Chordata, Amphibia, Anura, Pelobatidae. The record is from the annotation of a GenBank genome assembly.